RNAcentral lists this ribosomal RNA (114 nucleotides) under Burkholderiales bacterium. RNAcentral also lists the same sequence under 1 other name. The record is from RNAcentral. Lineage: Bacteria; Pseudomonadati; Pseudomonadota; Betaproteobacteria; Burkholderiales.
CUUGGCGGCCAUAGCAGCUUGGACCCACCCCUUCCCAUCCCGAACAGGACCGUGAAACGGGCUCGCGCCGAUGAUAGUGCGGAUUACCCGUGCGAAAGUAGGUCACCGCCAGGC